CCAAUAGCGUAUAUUAAAGUUGUUGCAGUUAAAAAGCUCGUAGUUGAAUUUCGGGGUCAGUAGGUCGGUCGUGCCACUGGUAUGCACUGGUCUCACUGAUUCCUCCUUCCUGAUGAACCGUAAUGCCAUUAAUUUGGUGUUGCGGGGAGACUGGACUGUUACUUUGAAAAAAUUAGAGUGUUUAAAGCAGGCUAACGCUUGAAUACAUUAGCAUGGAAUAACGGAAUAGGACGUUCGAUCUUAUUUUGUUGGUUUCUAAGAUUGACGUAAUGAUUAAUAGGGAUAGUUGGGGGCAUUAGUAUUCAAUUGUCAGAGGUGAAAUUCUUGGAUUUAUUGAAGACUAACUACUGCGAAAGCAUUUGCCAAGGAUGUUUUCAUAAAUCAAGAACGAAAGUUAGGGGAUCGAAGACGAUCAGAUACCGUCGUAGUCUUAACCAUAAACUAUGCCGACUAGGGAUCGGAUGAUGUUAAUUUUUUAAUGACUCAUUCGGCACCUUACG
Molecule: ribosomal RNA, 500 nt
Filed under: uncultured Glomeromycotina
Lineage: Eukaryota; Fungi; Glomeromycota
Description: partial small subunit ribosomal RNA
Rfam family: Eukaryotic small subunit ribosomal RNA
Source: RNAcentral